RNAcentral lists this transfer RNA (74 nucleotides) under Candidatus Tayloriibacteriota bacterium. RNAcentral describes it as "tRNA-Asp". It matches the Rfam family "tRNA". Rfam says of the family: Transfer RNA (tRNA) molecules are approximately 80 nucleotides in length. Lineage: Bacteria; Candidatus Tayloriibacteriota. The record is from RNAcentral.
GCGCCCGUAGCUCAACCUGGUGGAGCGCUUCCCUGUCACGGAAGAGGUUACCGGUUCAAAUCCGGCCGGGCGCG